Molecule: long non-coding RNA, 199 nt
Organism: Ipomoea nil (Japanese morning glory)
Lineage: Eukaryota; Viridiplantae; Streptophyta; Magnoliopsida; Solanales; Convolvulaceae
Exons: 3
Source: RefSeq, a predicted model, not a curated record
GUAACUGAGUUGUACGGAUCAUUGGUGUUUCACUUAUGAGAAUAAGGCUACACCAUAGCCAUACCUCUCAUAUUUCUUACUCACCUUUGAGAAAAGGGGGUUUGAAGGAAAUGGGCACACAAAGUGUUUGUUAAAUUGCCUCACCUAGCCAAGUUGCCAUGAGAAUGGGACUUCGGAUUAGUUGAUAGUCCAAUAGAUC